AUUUCUUCAUCUAAUUGUUCUUUGUCCCACAAACAAUACCCAUCAAAGAACCUAAAAUCCCUUGCCUUCACCACAUUUCUCUUCACCAUCUCAGCAGCAUACCCUACACUUUCUUUAGUCCCAUAGUACAACCCUUUCAUUACUUCUUCAAAACCCCCACUUUUCUCCACACCACCAUCAUCAUCAUCCUUUGUUGGACUCACCAAAAAAAACCCAUCUUCCAAUGGCCCACCGAAGAACAACGGCACAUGAGAGAACACCUCCGAGACAUCUCGGAUAGUUGUUGAUCUCAUUUCUUUGAU
This 302-nucleotide long non-coding RNA is filed under the name Gossypium barbadense (sea-island cotton). RNAcentral describes it as "long non-coding RNA (GBAR_LNC018964)". The record is from RNAcentral. Lineage: Eukaryota; Viridiplantae; Streptophyta; Magnoliopsida; Malvales; Malvaceae.